This is a long non-coding RNA of Cyprinus carpio (common carp), 570 nucleotides long. The record is from Ensembl. Lineage: Eukaryota; Metazoa; Chordata; Actinopteri; Cypriniformes; Cyprinidae.
AUGAGCUGUCGGACACUGGUCGGGCUAGGGCCUGAGCGUCUCGGGCCAGGGCCGGGCUCGGGCCUAGAUUUGAGGCCCGUGCAGGGCUCUAAGAAAAUGCUAAACCGCCGGCGAAAUAUUCCUAUCAUGCCCGAGCGAUGCUGUGCAGUUGGAUGCGAUCAGAUACGUGAUCAUACAAAAGGAAUAUCUUUAUACCAAUUGAAAACCAAACAGGCAGAUCACAACCACAGAUCUUUUCCUGCAUUUUUUAAAAAUGCUGGCAAAAAUAAAAAACAUCUUGCCAGAUGUCACAGGCCAACAGUACCAGCAAAGGCUCAUAAAUAUUUUGAUUGUUCUGUGUCUUUGCUGGGAUCUAAAUCCGAUACAACCCCAUCUAUAUCCGAAGAGCUAGAGCUCAUGCAAGCAGGGCUAGGAAAGAGGACCCUGUCCUUAACAUCAGAUACAACACAUGCCGAGUUAUCAAGUUUGCUGCGGGAAGCAUACUCAAAAAUGGUGGCUUCUUUUCAAAGCUGCAGGUGUGUACAACUUUUUAUCAACAUUUUAUCAACAUUUGGUGUUAAAAUUCAUUAA